This 873-nucleotide long non-coding RNA is filed under the name Equus caballus (horse). RNAcentral describes it as "lncRNA (ENSECAG00000052530.1)". The record is from RNAcentral. Lineage: Eukaryota; Metazoa; Chordata; Mammalia; Perissodactyla; Equidae.
AGUAGACCGGACACAGCUGAGGAGAGACUCUGUGCUUGACGCUCUCUCGGUAGAAACUUCCAAAACCUUAUCUGUAGAAGAACAAAGAUAAGAAUUACAUCUGCCUUCUCAGAAACCAUGCAAGCAAGAAGAGGAGUAAAAUAUUGAAAGUGUUGAGAGAAAAUAACCAUCAACCUUGGAUUCUGUAACCUGAGAAAUCAUCCUUCAAAAGUGAAUGAGAAAUUACGACUUUCUCAGACAAAACAAUUAAGGGAAUUAGCUGCCAGUAGAUCUACCUUGCAAGAAAUGUUGAAAGAAGUUCUUUACAGAGAAGGAAUGUAAUAUAGGGCAUAAACUUGGAUCUACAUAAAAAAGGGAAGAAAAUUGAAGAAGGAAUAAAUGAAGUUUGGCACCAUAACUCGGAUUAGACUAGAAGCCCACCUCCAGACUCCACCCUCUCCACCCACGUGCUGAGGUCUCUUGAGCCUGUUGUGUUCCUUCCCUGACUGGCAAUUCAGGGAUCCCACAUUAAGUGCUGCCUCUUGGUCUUUGCCACUCCGGGAAUCCCAUCGUCUUAACUGAAAUCAGGAGCUCAUCUCAAUUUCUGCACCCCCCAGUGUCAUAUCUGGCUAACUAAAGAGAGGAACCACAAAAAUUUUCAAGGAUGAGGAUGCUACCCUUGGAAAUGUAUUUAUCAAUGCAUAGUGGAAGGAACGUCUUCUGGGUCAGUUUGGCAUUUUAGAAUACCACUGACAUUUGCAGGGCAUGUUUUUGAAUUUGAAUGAAUGGACAAAAGGAGAUUUGCUAGCUGUUCUUCCAGAAAAGAAAUUUAUAGCAUAAUGAAUCUAAUGAACGUUGGAACUAAAAAGGAACUCUGAGGUGGUUGACCUCCAU